AGUGAACGCUGGCGGUAGGCCUAACACAUGCGAGUCGAACGGCAGCACAGUAAGAGCUUGCUCUUACGGGUGGCGAGUGGCGGACGGGUGAGGAAUACAUCGGAAUCUACUUUUUCGUGGGGGAUAACGUAGGGAAACUUACGCUAAUACCGCAUACGACCUACGGGUGAAAGCAGGGGAUCUUCGGACCUUGCGCGAUUGAAUGGGCCGAUGUCGGAUUAGCUAGUUGGCGGGGUAAAGGCCCACCAAGGCGACGAUCCGUAGCUGGUCUGAGAGGAUGAUCGCCCCCCCGGAACCUGGGCACCGGCCCUGCCUCCUAGGGAGGCCGCAGGCGGGAAAAUUUGGCAAUUGGGGGAAAGCCUGUCCCACCAAUCCGGGGGGGGUGAAGAGGCCCUCCGGGUGGUAAGGCCGUUUUGUGGGGAAAAAAAGCAGCCGGGUUAAUCCCCGCCUGUCUGACGGUAACCAAAAAAGAAGCACCGGCUAACUUCGUG
RNAcentral lists this ribosomal RNA (491 nucleotides) under uncultured bacterium. RNAcentral describes it as "partial 16S ribosomal RNA". It matches the Rfam family "Bacterial small subunit ribosomal RNA", at positions 29 to 507 of the family's 1533-position model. The record is from RNAcentral.